GGCAGAUAUGUAUAUGUUGCUUGGCACUCCCUUUGACACUUCAAGCAAUAUAGGCUGUUAUGGGUUCCAAAUCCCAUCUACUCUGAUGAUUACAACAUACUCUAUAUACCCCUCCCCUUUCUGUAUCCCCUCCAUUUCUCUCCCAAAUCUAUGUCCCUAUUUGUCUGUCUCCACUUAUGUCUCUACCUAUUUGUGCCCAUCACCAGAUCCAUUUGCU
Molecule: non-coding RNA, 217 nt
Organism: Pelobates cultripes (western spadefoot toad)
Lineage: Eukaryota; Metazoa; Chordata; Amphibia; Anura; Pelobatidae
Source: the annotation of a GenBank genome assembly